UGGGGAAUUUUGGACAAUGGGCGAAAGCCUGAUCCAGCAAUGCCGCGUGUGUGAAGAAGGCCUUCGGGUUGUAAAGCACUUUUAUCAGGAGCGAAACGCUGUCGGCUAAUACCCGGCGGAACUGACGGUACCCGAGGAAUAAGCACCGGCUAACUUCGUGCCAGCAGCCGCGGUAAUACGAAGGGUGCAAGCGUUAAUCGGAAUUACUGGGCGUAAAGCGUGCGUAGGCGGUUUCUUAAGUCUGCUGUGAAAUCCCCGGGCUCAACCUGGGAAUGGCAGUGGAUACUGGGAGGCUAGAGUGUGUCAGAGGGUGGUGGAAUUCCCGGUGUAGCGGUGAAAUGCGUAGAGAUCGGGAGGAACAUCAGUGGCGAAGGCGGCCACCUGGGACAACACUGACGCUGAGGCACGAAAGCGUGGGGAGCAAACAGGAUUAGAUACCCUGGUAGUCCACGCCCUAAACGAUGCGAACUGGAUGUUGGUCUCAACUCGGAGAUCAGUGUCGAAGCUAACGCGUUAAGUUCGCCGCCUGGGGAGUACGGUCGCAAGACUGAAACUCAAAUGAAUUGA
RNAcentral lists this ribosomal RNA (567 nucleotides) under uncultured bacterium. RNAcentral describes it as "partial 16S ribosomal RNA". It matches the Rfam family "Bacterial small subunit ribosomal RNA", at positions 355 to 913 of the family's 1533-position model. The record is from RNAcentral.